UAUAAAUAAGCGGAGGAAAAGAAACUAACAAGGAUUCCUUCAGUAACGGCGAGUGAAGAAGGAAGAAGCCCAGCGCCGAAUCUCCACGGCGGAGACGCUGUCGAGAAAUGUGGCGUAUAGGAAGGCGAACUGCGGCCGCGCUCCGGCGCCCAAGUCCUCCUGAUCGUGGCCCACCCAUAGCGGGUGUUAGGCCCUUACAGGCGCUCGGACGCGGUGGCUUUCGAUACUUCCUCGGAGUCGGGUUGCUUGGGAAUGCAGCCCGAAGCGGGUGGUAAACUCCAUCUAAGGCUGAAUACGAACACGAGUCCGAUAGCGAACAAGUACCGUGAGGGAAAGUUGAAAAGCACUUUGAAGAGAGAGUUCAAGAGUACGUGAAACCGCCUAGAGUCAAACGGGUGGAUCCGCAAAGUCGGCUCGGGGAAUUCAGCCGGCCCCGAACCCAGGUGCCGCGAGGGUGUCCGUCUCGGAUUCCGCAAGGAACCGCGGCCUCUCGUUCCAGGGCAAGCGCACCUCGGUGGCUGGUGCACUUUCUCCGAGCCGAGCGCCACGACCGGUUCUCCGUAAUGCAGUCAGACGACGAGGGGACUGGUAGCCGUCGACCCCGUGCUUCGGUGCGGGACUCAGCGGUGUUUAAGUCCCUCUCUGCUCCGGCCUGCCGUGAGGACCGAGGAAGUAGUCUCUAGAGCCGUGCCUCCCGUCUUCGGGCCAUCGGCGGGCGUUCGACCUCGGCAUCUCGCGCCGUGAGGCUCUCGUAGCCGCAUCGGUGUUGUCGUAACCGCGCUCCGUUCGAAGGGCUCGUCUGGCGGAGUGGCCGCGUUCAGGGUCAGUGGCGAAUCGGUCGGCCCUCCACCCGACCCGUCUUGAAACACGGACCAAGGAGUCUAACAUGUACGCAAGUCAUGGGGUUUUCUCUCUCGAAGAAACCCACAAGGCGCAAUGAAAGUGAAAGAACACGCAAGUGAACUGGGCAGGAUCCCCCAACCCUCCGGGGCGGGGCGCACUGCCGGCCCGUCUCGUCUGCACCGUUGCUCUUCGGGGCUUCGGCUGUCAGUGAGGCGGAGCAAGAGCGCACACGUUGGGACCCGAAAGAUGGUGAACUAUGCUUGAGUAGGAUGAAGCCAGAGGAAACUCUGGUGGAGGUCCGCAGCGAUUCUGACGUGCAAAUCGAUCGUCAAACUUGAGUAUAGGGGCGAAAGACUAAUCGAACCAUCUAGUAGCUGGUUCCCUCCGAAGUUUCCCUCAGGAUAGCUGGCACUCGCUGACGUAGUUUUAUCCGGUCGAGCGAAUGAUUAGAGGUCUUGGGGCCGAAACGGCCUCAACCUAUUCUCAAACUUCAAAUGGGUAAGAAGCCCGACUCGCUCAACUGAGCCUCCGGGUUCUGGAGUCGCGGCAUUGAAUACGUAAGUGCCAAGUGGGCCACUUUUGGUAAGCAGAACUGGCGCUGUGGGAUGAACCAAACGCCCGGUUAAGGCGCCAGAUACUGACGCUCAUCAGACACCAUAAAAGGUGUUGGUUGAUAUAGACAGCAGGACGGUGGCCAUGGAAGUCGGCAUCCGCUAAGGAGUGUGUAACAACUCACCUGCCGAAUCAACUAGC
This 1596-nucleotide ribosomal RNA is filed under the name Cochlodesma praetenue. Its description in RNAcentral is "eukaryotic LSU rRNA". It matches the Rfam family "Eukaryotic large subunit ribosomal RNA", at positions 41 to 1310 of the family's 3401-position model. Lineage: Eukaryota; Metazoa; Mollusca; Bivalvia; Periplomatidae. The record is from RNAcentral.